CGUAGGGUGCAAGCGUUAAUCGGAAUUACUGGGCGUAAAGCGUGCGCAGGCGGUUAUGCAAGACAGAGGUGAAAUCCCCGGGCUCAACCUGGGAACUGCCUUUGUGACUGCAUGGCUAGAGUACGGUAGAGGGGGAUGGAAUUCCGCGUGUAGCAGUGAAAUGCGUAGAUAUGCGGAGGAACACCGAUGGCGAAGGCAAUCCCCUGGACCUGUACUGACGCUCAUGCACGAAAGCGUGGGGAGCAAACAGGAUU
This 254-nucleotide ribosomal RNA is filed under the name uncultured bacterium. RNAcentral's name for it is "partial 16S ribosomal RNA". It matches the Rfam family "Bacterial small subunit ribosomal RNA", at positions 526 to 779 of the family's 1533-position model. The record is from RNAcentral.